CAGCAGCCGCGGUAAUACAGAGGGUGCGAGCGUUAAUCGGAUUUACUGGGCGUAAAGCGUGCGCAGGCGGUUAUAUAAGACAGAUGUGAAAUCCCCGGGCUCAACCUGGGAACUGCAUUUGUGACUGUAUAGCUAGAGUACGGCAGAGGGGGAUGGAAUUCCGCGUGUAGCAGUGAAAUGCGUAGAUAUGCGGAGGAACACCGAUGGCGAAGGCAAUCCCCUGGGCCUGUACUGACGCUCAUGCACGAAAGCGUGGGGAGCAAACAGGAUUAGAUACCCCAGUAGUCCCUGUCUCUUAUAA
Molecule: ribosomal RNA, 301 nt
Filed under: uncultured bacterium
Lineage: Bacteria
Description: partial 16S ribosomal RNA
Rfam family: Bacterial small subunit ribosomal RNA
Source: RNAcentral